GAUGAACGCUGGCGGCGUGCCUAACACAUGCAAGUCGAGCGUGAACCGUCUGAAUGAAACUUCGGUCGAGUGAGGAUGGGGAAAGCGGCGGACGGGUGAGUAACGCGUAGGCAACCUGCCCCGUACAGAGGGAUAGCCUCGGGAAACCGGGAUUAAGACCUCAUAAUACCAUUAUCUCACAUGUGAUAAUGGUCAAAGAUUUUAUCGGUAUGGGAUGGGCCUGCGUCUGAUUAGCUGGUUGGUGGGGUAACGGCUCACCAAGGCGACGAUCAGUAGCCGACCUGAGAGGGUAAUCGGCCACAUUGGAACUGAGACACGGUCCAAACUCCUACGGGAGGCAGCAGUGGGGAAUAUUGCACAAUGGGCGAAAGCCUGAUGCAGCAACGCCGCGUGAGCGAGGAAGGCCUUUGGGUCGUAAAGCUCUGUCGAGGAGGAAGAUAAUGACGGUACUCCUCGAGGAAGCCCGGCUAACUACGUGCCAGCAGCCGCGGU
This 492-nucleotide ribosomal RNA is filed under the name uncultured bacterium. RNAcentral describes it as "bacterial SSU rRNA". It matches the Rfam family "Bacterial small subunit ribosomal RNA", at positions 28 to 521 of the family's 1533-position model. The record is from RNAcentral.